CCUACGGUGGGCAGCAGUGGGGAAUAUUGGGCAAUGGGCGCAAACCUGACCCAGCAACGCCGCGUGAAGGAAGAAGGCUUUCGGGUUGUAAACUUCUUUUCUCAGGGACGAAGCAAGUGACGGUACCUGAGGAAUAAGCCACGGCUAACUACGUGCCAGCAGCCGCGGUAAUACGUAGGUGGCAAGCGUUAUCGGGAUUUAUUGGGUGUACAGGGCGUGUAGGCGGGACUGCAAGUCAGAUGUGAAAUCCACGGGCUCAACCUGUGGCCUGCAGUUGAAACUGGCGUUCUUGAGGACUGGGGAGGCAGGCGGAAUUCCUAGUGUAGCGGUGAAAUGCGUAGAUAUGAGGAAGAACACCAGUGGCGAAGGCGGUCUGCUGGAGAGCAACUGACGCUGAGGCGCGAAAGCGUGGGGAGCAAACAGGAUUAGAUACCCUUGUAGUC
Molecule: ribosomal RNA, 443 nt
Filed under: uncultured bacterium
Lineage: Bacteria
Description: partial 16S ribosomal RNA
Rfam family: Bacterial small subunit ribosomal RNA
Source: RNAcentral